GCCAACCACUAGAAGAACCUAGCAGAAACCUUUCUGGCCUUGAAAACAAAAAGAAAAGUACAAUCAUGGGAGAUGGUGAAAUGGAGUGUUUCGGCUCGGCGGCCAUUUAUCUCUGGCAGCCAGAAAGAGAGCGAAUCAAGGCUCAGAAAACCCGCUUUGAUGACAAAUCAGCAUUCUUCAUGACAGAUGCAGAUGAGAUGUACCUGAAAGGUAUUCUUUUUAGUAAAGAGGGUGGCAAAGCUAAUGUCAAAACUCACAGUGGGAAAACUGUUACAGUAAAA
This is a long non-coding RNA of Sinocyclocheilus rhinocerous, 281 nucleotides long. RefSeq lists it as uncharacterized. The transcript has 4 exons. The record is from RefSeq and is a predicted model, not a curated record. Lineage: Eukaryota; Metazoa; Chordata; Actinopteri; Cypriniformes; Cyprinidae.